GCCUCGGUGGUGUAAUAGAAAGCACGGCAGACCGGAUAUCUGUAAGCGCGGGUACGAGUCCCGCCUGAGGUC
RNAcentral lists this transfer RNA (72 nucleotides) under Dictyocaulus viviparus (bovine lungworm). It matches the Rfam family "tRNA". Rfam says of the family: Transfer RNA (tRNA) molecules are approximately 80 nucleotides in length. Their secondary structure includes four short double-helical elements and three loops (D, anti-codon, and T loops). Further hydrogen bonds mediate the characteristic L-shaped molecular structure. tRNAs have two regions of fundamental functional importance: the anti-codon, which is responsible for specific mRNA codon recognition, and the 3' end, to which the tRNAs corresponding amino acid is attached (by aminoacyl-tRNA synthetases). tRNAs cope with the degeneracy of the genetic code in two manners: having more than one tRNA (with a specific anti-codon) for a particular amino acid; and 'wobble' base-pairing, i.e. permitting non-standard base-pairing at the 3rd anti-codon position. Lineage: Eukaryota; Metazoa; Nematoda; Chromadorea; Rhabditida; Metastrongylidae. The record is from Rfam by way of RNAcentral.